Molecule: non-coding RNA, 212 nt
Organism: Pelobates cultripes (western spadefoot toad)
Lineage: Eukaryota; Metazoa; Chordata; Amphibia; Anura; Pelobatidae
Source: the annotation of a GenBank genome assembly
CGAAGAAAUAAAAGAACUGAAAAUAGGGUCUUCCUGAAUUUUUCUCCUCAACCAGCAAAAAAAAUCUUCCAGAUAUGGAUUUAAGUAACACUUCAACACGCAAUGAGUGGAGCAGUGUUUUGUUUUUUCUCUCCAAGAGCAAAAUGCAUGUAUUUAGAUCUUCCAAAUUACAAAAGUCCAGUUUCCUUGCAUUACUUAUGGCUAGAAUUAUG